Molecule: unclassified non-coding RNA, 299 nt
Filed under: Hevea brasiliensis (rubber tree)
Lineage: Eukaryota; Viridiplantae; Streptophyta; Magnoliopsida; Malpighiales; Euphorbiaceae
Source: RNAcentral
GUUGUGAUAGUCAUAGUGAGAGAGUGGAUGCUAAUGGGACUCUGAGGUCUUCACUUCUCAACCUUAAUAACCAUGCUGAGAACAUCAAAUGUGAAGUUAGGGAGGAAGAACCUAAUGCUAAUGGAUUAUUUUGUGUGCCACCAGCAUCAGAUCUCUCUGAAAAUGUAGCAUCAGAAUCUGGAUUUUGCAAUUCAACACAUCCUGCUCAAGACUAUGUUGAUGUAAGCACACAUGAGGUGUCUAAACUUUCAUUAGCGGACCAGAAGACUAGUAAAGCUGUGGAGGCCAUGGCAAAUAGG